ACUUGGUUCAGUGUAAUGUAAGGACUGAUGAAACAGGGCUCGUGGCCACAAAACCUUUGAGAACCUCUUUUCUGGACCGAGGAGACUGAAGGUUUCCACUGCAGGCAGAACAGACUCUGGAGUAAAGGGAGAAGAUGAUCUGCAGGAUCCUGCUGCUCAUCAUCCUCACCUCAUGUGUCUCUGGAUCAUUUGUAGUCAAUGUGACACAGACCUGCUAUCAGGCAGAGGAGAACCACAACAUCACACUGGAGUGGACGUUCACCACCAAACCUGACAGAUCCAACAAAACUCUUUUUAUCUACUGUGAACUCAAAGCUGAGCUUAAAUGCUCAGUCGUGUAUCAGGUUCAUGAAGGUGUUGAGGUGUCAGAGUCUCAGGACGAAACGUUUCAGGACGAGUCCAGAGUGACAAAGACGCCCUCAGAGAAGGACGGAUCAGACUUCAACUGUCCAGACUCAGGACUGAUGACUCGGUCUGUACCUGUGUGAGCUGAACACUGAUUAUGGUCACGGCUCUUCCAGCUUAAGAUCAGUAGAACCUCUGGUCUGUUUCAGAAUCAGAGACCAACUUCACAGCCACAGAGUUCAGGAUGGACAACGUUGUGUAUUUUCCUGGGACAAGCAACAGCGUUUCUACUGUUUUAUUUUCUCAUAGUCAAAGGUGGAGCUUGUGUAAGCCAGCCUGGAGAGGUGGAGGUGUGCUCUGGAGAGCGUUAAAUUACCCCAGUUCUUUGAUCGAAGGAAGAACAACACUCGGUGUUUUAAUGCUCGAUCAACAAUCACUUUAAUCAAUACAAUUCUCUUUAUACCACACAAACACUUUGAGCAGCACAAUCAUCCGGAUGGCAGAUGUGCACGAGAGGGCAGAUCUCAAAAUGUCGGCCCGUUACUCAAACUUUUAUAGCCUCGGCCCACUCCAAAGUCGUAAAAAACUUAAACGUCCCCAUUCUUUCUGUCUCUCAGGGAGCCUGAGUUAUGACCUUGGCUUCCUGUUUUCUCCUCCUGUGUGAGAUGAGGGAGAAUAUCCUGUGCAGUAUGUUCUGUUCUCUUUGUAAUCAGAAAAGCA
Long non-coding RNA from Astatotilapia calliptera (eastern happy), 1065 nucleotides. The record is from Ensembl. Lineage: Eukaryota; Metazoa; Chordata; Actinopteri; Cichliformes; Cichlidae.